CCCUGGUUAGCUCAGUUGGUAGAGCGCUCCACUAGAAAUGGAGAGGUCCCGGGUUCGAUACCCGAAUCAGGCG
Molecule: transfer RNA, 73 nt
Filed under: Ixodes scapularis (black-legged tick)
Lineage: Eukaryota; Metazoa; Arthropoda; Arachnida; Ixodida; Ixodidae
Rfam family: tRNA
About the family: Transfer RNA (tRNA) molecules are approximately 80 nucleotides in length. Their secondary structure includes four short double-helical elements and three loops (D, anti-codon, and T loops).
Source: Rfam by way of RNAcentral